This 327-nucleotide long non-coding RNA is filed under the name Gossypium raimondii (Peruvian cotton). Its description in RNAcentral is "long non-coding RNA (GRAI_LNC001436)". The record is from RNAcentral. Lineage: Eukaryota; Viridiplantae; Streptophyta; Magnoliopsida; Malvales; Malvaceae.
UGCCUUUCUCGUUGAGUUAGCAUAACUUUGCCCAUUUGAAGUCGAGUUUCAUCUCUUCAAGUUUUGUUGGAUCUCAUCCUGAUGGAAGAGGAAGAUCAAAAGUUUUCAGUCGUAGUGUCACCCCAAAAGGCUUUAUGAAGGAAAUCUGAUAUCAAAGAAGAUUCUUCGAAAGGGAUAACGAGGACUUGCCUAACCCUAUGAGCUCAAAAAAAAACAAAAAACAGAAAACAAAAAAAUCAAAAUCAAAAUCAAAAAUAAAAAAUCAAAAAAAAGAAGAAAAAUCAAAAUCAAAAUCAAGGUCAAAAUGAAAAUGAAAAAAGAGAAGAA